RNAcentral lists this transfer RNA (67 nucleotides) under Drabescus ineffectus. Its description in RNAcentral is "tRNA-Phe". The record is from RNAcentral. Lineage: Eukaryota; Metazoa; Arthropoda; Insecta; Hemiptera; Cicadellidae.
AUUUUUAUAGCUUAUACUAAAGAGUACAUCAGUGAAGUUGAUAUGGAAAUAGAAUUAUUUAAAAAUA